CGUUACAUUCACUACUACAGAUUUUCAAUAUGACAGCAAUUCUGAAACAACUUCUUUGCGCUUUAAUUAAUUAAUAAUCGUGUCGAUCGAUGGUAGAACCUUGUCGUCGAAGGAUAUAGCUUCGUGCACAAAAGAAGGUUGCACGCGAGGUCGGACGCACGAGAAGCGCCGGGAGAUUGUAGUCACCCUGAGAUUCAAGUCCACGUCCACGCCUGGUUGUAAAGCCGGAGAGGGUAUCGGAUCACAAAUUUAUACUUUUGCGACUGCACACACUGGUGAAUUUUGCAUCGUCGAACACGUGGAUUAUACAGAAGGCUCUCUUAAUGAAAGGAUUGGGUAGAGUGAAAAUCGCUUUGAAAUUAGUUACACCCUCAGUAGCGGUUACUAUACUGACAUUGAGACUACCGAUCUCUUCCCAAAUGUCUGACAAGCUGAAAAUUACUAGAUACUGUUACGAUAUCACGACCAACUAAAGACCUGAUAUUACUGCCGUCGUUAACGAGCUGGAUAAUUUCGUUGAAUACGAAUAAAAUUGCUUAUGGAUUUAUUAAUAAAAGGAAUUGUUGCAAUCCAAUGUCAGAAUGUGUUAUACUUGAUGGAAUAUGGAGAUGUGGACUCGUUUACGUUAUAAACAGAGGCUUUGAUGACUGUCAUUGAGAGACUGAAUGCAGCUGUAAUCUACGAUGAUUUUAACUUUUAUAUUAAUAUCACUUAUUGUAAUAAAAUUUAUGUUUAGAAAAAUUAAUAGAUUGCAAACGUGUAUACAAUAAAAUGUAAGAUAUCC
Long non-coding RNA from Monomorium pharaonis (pharaoh ant), 784 nucleotides. RefSeq lists it as uncharacterized. The transcript has 4 exons. The record is from RefSeq and is a predicted model, not a curated record. NCBI's taxonomy places the organism in Eukaryota, Metazoa, Arthropoda, Insecta, Hymenoptera, Formicidae.